UACGCGCGAUAUUACAAUGUUAUCAUGGCGCGUGCGCACCGGCAACGCGGUAACGUAAAGAUGGUGAAAGUGCCGGUGCCGUUACUGUGGUAAAUCGCCGCGCGCCCGCGUCGAACGCGUGUACGCAGGAAAACUAUCCGAAAACGAAAACGCGACGAUUAUCGUUUCGUCAAUCGCCUCGGCGCGUAAUGCACAAACGAAAUCGCGGGACGCGCGUCCGGGUAAAAAUACGAAUUACAGUUUAAUUUGUUUUGUGCGUGGCCCCGGGCAGCAGACGAAACGAGAGAAAAUACACCGAGACGGCGUGGGCGCAUUACGAGAUGAGAAGAACCACGAUCGGCGCGAAUUAAAUGGAAACAAACGCAGGAGGGACGGCGGGAGAACAAGACCGGGAAAAAGAGGCUGUUGAACGCGAUUGAAAAUAAUACAAGGACGGUGGGUCUACGCGAGAACUAUGUGGGAGAUCGGAUGAAGUGGAGGAUCUGGACGACGGUGACCGAUUUCAAAUAGUUGGGAUGAAGGCGAAGGACAAG
Cinara cedri is the source of this 533-nucleotide non-coding RNA. The record is from the annotation of a GenBank genome assembly. Lineage: Eukaryota; Metazoa; Arthropoda; Insecta; Hemiptera; Aphididae.